GGCGGCGCGCCACUUUCAUUGUCGAAAAUCAUUUGAGGACGUUAUUUUAUUUGCGAAACCCAGUGGUGUGGCUGUGGCACUCCGGGGUCUCGCUUGGAUACCAGGGAAAGCGCGCAUAGCUAUUAAGCGAAAGUUCAACUUGAGUCGCCGUGGUUUUCGGGGCGUCGCGAGGCGUCGCGGACUCUCAAACUCAAGGAUGAGGACGUGUUGUGCAUCGACCGUUCUGUUGUCUGUCUAUAGAAAUUGACAAAGAAGCGGUAUUGUUUUGACUGUGCCAAGAUUCCAGCUCACUGGCUUCUCAAGCAGGCUCUGUGAAUUUUUUUCGUUACGUGACACAGCAGCUCUUAAAGGGGUUGAUUAAGCUUCUCGCUGUCGGCUUCCCCAGAGCUGUACAACUCUCUCGUGUCCAUCCAAGGUUGCCAGCAUUGCUGCCGGCUGUGCGACUACACGACUGAAAGAAGGGAUCACAUGUAUAGGCACCUGUACAAACACACGGGCGAGCGUCCCUUCAAGUGCCACUUGUGCACUAAGGCAUUCACUCAGGAGUUCAAGCUCAACCAGCACAUGCGGACCCACACAGGAGAGCGUCCCUUCUCCUGUGACCUCUGCAAUGCGUCCUUUUCACGAAGAGACCACCUCAAUUACCACUUGACCACCCAUGCGAAAAACAGGCCCUAAAGAUCAUGUACGCGUAUUAUCUCAUAGAUCAAGCGCUUCAUUCUAACCUUAACAGUAGAGUUGUUUAAGCUGAAAGAAACUUCAAGUUGCGAACCAGAAUGUUCAUCAUAAUAAAUCAGCAUGCUUUCUCUUUGGCC
Long non-coding RNA from Rhipicephalus microplus (southern cattle tick), 815 nucleotides. Lineage: Eukaryota; Metazoa; Arthropoda; Arachnida; Ixodida; Ixodidae. The record is from RefSeq and is a predicted model, not a curated record.